RNAcentral lists this long non-coding RNA (1709 nucleotides) under Salvia miltiorrhiza (redroot sage). Its description in RNAcentral is "long non-coding RNA (SMIL_LNC006231)". The record is from RNAcentral. Lineage: Eukaryota; Viridiplantae; Streptophyta; Magnoliopsida; Lamiales; Lamiaceae.
UAAGGAAGCCUCGGGCGACUAGCCCCAUGGUAUGGUUUGCUGCAAUUCUUUGUAUGAUAUUUAGCCUCCUCAUCAUCUUCCUCGGUAUUGCAAUUCUAGUCAUCUUUCUCGCUGUGCAACCACGAACCCCGGCAUUCGACACCCCUGCAGCAACUCUCAACGCUGUCUUCCUCAAUUUCCCCGAGUACAUCAAUGGCGACAUCACAAUUCUAGCAAACUUCUCUAAUCCGAAUAGGAAACUGGGCGUUAGGUUUGAGUACCUGAAGGUGGAGCUCCACUUCUUGGAAAUGGCGGUAGCAACUCAAGUUAUCCAACCCUUCAAUCAGAGCCCCCGGGAAGCACGGUUGAUACCGGUUCAUAUGCUGUCGGGCUUGGUCCAUCUGCCACCGAAUGUUGCUAUGGAGUUUCAGAAACAGGUGCAGAGGAACAGGGUAGUGUACAACAUCAAAGGAAGUUUCAGAGUGAGGAUCAACCUGGGAUUGAUUCAUUACUCUUACUGGCUUCAUGGAGAUUGCCAAUUGGAAAUGACUAGCCCACCAAGCAGCGUACUCAUCACCCACACCUGCAAAACCAAGAGAUGAAUGCUUUGCUUUCUCAAAUUUUACUACAUUACAUUAUUUUCCAGUCCAGCGAAUCAAGGUGUUCUACAUACUCAUAUUAAUUAAUUUGUGUAUUGUUAAACAGAUCAGAUAUAGCAUACCACAACUAUAGUAUUAGGCAUUUUCGAAGAUUACCUAUCUGCAAUUAUGUAUAGCUCUAUUUAUGCUCUAAAGCUUGAAAACAAAGAAAAAGACUUUUGUUUCAUUCAUAAGUAGAAGCUGUGAGAUUAUUGUUCUCUAUCUUGCAAAUGCGUUGUCCUAUUAUUUUAUGGCUUCAUUUGGUAGCAUCACAUGGUGGCAUUCUAGUUUGUGUGGUACAGCAAGGCAUCAAAUUUGAGAACAUUAAUUAGUGCGGAAAAGGUUGCCAAUAAUAUAUAUAGUUCAAUGAUUCAAUCGAUCUCAAGGCUGAAAAGCAAAAAAGGCUACUUCAUUUUGAGGAGUAAAAAGAAAAAAGUAUCCAUGGUGGGAUAAUCACAAUGCCUUGCAUAUGCACAAGAAGAUAAUAAAAUAACAAAAGAUAGAGAGUGUAGGAUGGGGAAGUGACCGGGAAUUAUCCACACAUCCAAUAAGAUUCUUGCAACUAGAUCUCAGAACCAGGAUUGUGAAGUAGGCACAUGCAGAAGAUUCUCCAUAGACGCAUUUACUUCUAGAAGAUCAGCAUAAUAUUUUGCCUGGACAAAUCUUCCAAGCCUGAGUACGCAUUCCUAGCUUGUGUAAAUUGAGAUAAAGGAUAAGGUCCAAAUACCUUCUUAAGGUUUACCUCAAAAAUUGGAUAUAAAUCUAAACUAUGAUUAGAUUCGACAAUCACCCUAAACUCUCGAAAAUGGUAACGGCACACUAACGCGGAAAUGUAGUUUCCGUCGGUAAACCUUAUGUUAGAUUAGAAAUGUAGUUUCCAUCGCUGGUCCGUCGGCUUUUCCGUCAGUGAUCAGAGACGGACAUUUUUCCUUCAUUAAAUAUGCCGGUGUUCGGCUUACUUUCUUGCAGUGGAAGAACUCCUAGCUGAGCUCCUCCACUUCCUCAUUCGUUGACUCCUGCAACAAGGAGAGAGUGUAGGGUUGUAACUUAUCCGAUUUUUGAGGUAUACCUUAGUGGGUAUUUGGACCUUAU